Molecule: long non-coding RNA, 1529 nt
Organism: Rhincodon typus (whale shark)
Lineage: Eukaryota; Metazoa; Chordata; Chondrichthyes; Orectolobiformes; Rhincodontidae
Exons: 4
Source: RefSeq, a predicted model, not a curated record
GCGAAUUUUGAUUACUUGGAGCUACAAAUGCAUCUGACACACACAAAUAGGAUCCAGGAUUUCUGCAUACAUCUAAACUGAAGUUUGCCAAAGACCAACUUGGUAAAGGGGUUUGCAUACGUGACGAACAGUGUACAAAGUGCACAGAUAAGAAGCACAUCAGUAUGCACCACUGAUUCAACACCAGUGCUGACACUUUCAGUCUCCACGCUCCAGCCGCCAUUCUGUCCCAACCUUUCACAGCUGAGCACACCCAAAAAAGCAAUGAAUGGAAAUCCCAUCGCAACUUUUUAAAGCGAUUAUUAACUUCUUACAGAUUCAGACUAAAGAAAUGUGGAUAAUGCAGAGAGAAAGAAACAACUUCCUGUGAUGCACACAUACAUCUUAUGUAACUCGAGAUCUGUGCUUAACCACGAUGGGACCACACUUUAAUGAAUCACCUUGAGUCCAGAAGUCCAUCCUGGGGCCGUGCUGGGCUGAGAGACCACAAUGUACAGCUGAAAGACCACCAUGCAGGGCCAAGAAACUGCCAUGCUGGGCCACUGAGAGAUCGCCACGCCAGGCCAAGAGGCUGCCAUGCUGGGUGGAGAGUCCGUCACCACGGCCAAAGGUCUGCCAUGCCAUUCCAGAAGGCUGUUGCACCAGGACUGUAGGGUUGCCACACCAGACUGGGAGGCCGCAUUGCUACACUAUUAGACUGCCACACCAAGCUGGGCCACCAUACGAGGCUGGGAGGCCACUACGUCAGGCCAGGAGGCUAUCACACCAAUGCCUAUCCAAACACACUAUACUUGACUGACCCUCUUGUCACAGCCAAUUUUUAAUACACAUUUUUUCAGUCUGUCAGAAUUGCAGUGCAGAGGACAUCAUUCAUUCUUUUCCUGCACAAUAAGCAGAUUAACUUCAGGUUGAAUCACACAAUAAAACUCCAGGCUAAGGCAGUAAACAGGUAAACUCCCAGUUCAAUGCUGUAAGACUAAUCCUGCAGCCUGUGAUCCAUUUGAGUGUAAUUCAAAACUGGAAAUGUAGAAUUCAUGAAAUCAUCUCUAACAGCACUGCAGUAAGGUUCUCCUUGAAAAAACAAUGAUAUAAUUACACCAUACUUGUAUUAUUUUGUUAACAUGGUGACACAUAUAAUGCUUGUUUAUUUAACCAGUGUGUUUUGUGUCAUAAUAUUUGGCAUCAAAAUCAUUUUGGCAGAUGUUAUUUUCAAAUAAGAGACAGUUUUUGAAAGCAGAAGGUGUCUCCGGGUAAUCAGUUGCAUGAAGAAACAAAAAUGUUUUGGCUUUUUAAUUCUAGUUUUCACUCCUGUUCUGUAAUUAAAGAAUUACAAAUGAAAGAAAAGAGUUUGCUGCGUGAUGGAUACCUACUUUCUGGAAAAUUGGCAGAUGAGUUACUGAAGCAGUCCAAAUUAAUUUUACUGAUGAUGGACUUAAACUGUAAGUUUUCAGUUAAUUCACUUUAGAGGUAUGUUGUAUCCUAAUGCAUGCUUUUAUCUGUGUCUUAAAUUAAAUUAUAAGAAUAAGCGA